CCUACGGGUGGCAGCAGUGAGGAAUAUUGGUCAAUGGGCGGGAGCCUGAACCAGCCAAGCCGCGUGAGGGAAGAAGGUACAGCGUAUCGUAAACCUCUUUUGUCAGGGAACAAAGGCGGGGACUAGUCCCCGGAUGAGGGUACCUGAAGAAAAAGCAUCGGCUAACUCCGUGCCAGCAGCCGCGGUAAUACGGAGGAUGCGAGCGUUAUCCGGAUUUAUUGGGUUUAAAGGGUGCGCGGGCGGUCUGUUAAGUCAGCGGUGAAAGCCCGGGGCUCAACCCCGGCCCGCCGUUGAAACUGGCAGUCUCGAGUUGGAGAGAAGUAUGCGGAAUGCGCGGUGUAGCGGUGAAAUGCAUAGAUAUCGCGCAGAACUCCGAUUGCGAAGGCAGCAUGCCGGCUCCACACUGACGCUGAGGCACGAAAGCGUGGGUAUCGAACAGGAUUAGAUACCCGAGUAGUC
RNAcentral lists this ribosomal RNA (459 nucleotides) under uncultured bacterium. RNAcentral's name for it is "partial 16S ribosomal RNA". It matches the Rfam family "Bacterial small subunit ribosomal RNA", at positions 338 to 795 of the family's 1533-position model. The record is from RNAcentral.